AAUUCUUUGGGUAGCUUAAAAAUACAUUUAUAAAUUGACAAUUUUUUUUUUUUUACUAUGAAAUUAGGUGAUUAAUAAAUAUACUGAAAGAAUAUGGCUGCACAGAUACCAGAAUCUGACCAGAUAAAACAGUUUAAGGAGUUCCUGGGAACUUACAAUAGACUUACAGAAAGCUGCUUUUUGGACUGUGUUAAAGACUUCACAACAAGAGAGGUGAAACCUGAAGAGGUUACCUGUUCAGAACAUUGCUUACAGAAAUAUUUAAAAAUGACACAGAGAAUAUCCAUGAGAUUUCAGGAAUAUCAUAUUCAGCAGAAUGAAGCCCUGGCAGCCAAAGCAGGACUCCUGGGCCAGCCCCGGUAGAGAAGUCCCAAGGCACAGACUUGCACUGAGAGAUUGCCAGCAGCUGUUGCACUGGAAGUGAGGGUUCACUUGGGAGAACCCCUGAAGCACAGCCGAAGUGGUGGUGGUGGUAAACCAUCUGUUGUAACUGCCUGACCAAUGGAAACCACUGGAGAAACAAAAAUCACUCUUCACCAGAAAGAAUCCAAACAGAAGGCCUUGCUGUUGAGUGAAAAUGGUAAGAUGCAACAUUGUUGAGGACUUAAGUUUCACCUGGGUGGUCACCUUCAUUACAAAAAUAAACCACUGUUCUUUUCUUUGUGACUGUUAAUUUUAAAGGCAAAACAUGUGUUCCAAUCAUGUAAGAGAUAGAAAAACUUUAUUACUAAAAGCAAAAUAAAUGAAAAUAUGA
This is a non-coding RNA of Cricetulus griseus (Chinese hamster), 754 nucleotides long. Lineage: Eukaryota; Metazoa; Chordata; Mammalia; Rodentia; Cricetidae. The record is from RefSeq and is a predicted model, not a curated record.